This 253-nucleotide ribosomal RNA is filed under the name uncultured bacterium. Its description in RNAcentral is "partial 16S ribosomal RNA". It matches the Rfam family "Bacterial small subunit ribosomal RNA", at positions 524 to 776 of the family's 1533-position model. The record is from RNAcentral.
UACGUAGGGAGCAAGCGUUGUCCGGAAUCAUUGGGCGUAAAGCGCGCGUAGGCGGCCUCGUAAGUCCGUUGUGAAAGUCAAAGGUUCAACCUUUGAAAGCCGAUGGAUACUGUGAGGCUAGAGUCCGGAAGAGGCGAGUGGAAUUCCUGGUGUAGCGGUGGAAUGCGCAGAUAUCAGGAGGAACACCAAUAGCGAAGGCAGCUCGCUGGGACGGUACUGACGCUAAGGCGCGAAAGCGUGGGGAGCGAACAGG